GCAAAUAUAAUUUAACAAAAAUGUUGGAUUGUGAUUCCAAAAAUAGGGGUUUAAGUCCCCUUAUUCGCC
RNAcentral lists this transfer RNA (69 nucleotides) under Opisthopterus tardoore (slender tardoor). Its description in RNAcentral is "tRNA-His". It matches the Rfam family "tRNA". From Rfam's summary of the family: Transfer RNA (tRNA) molecules are approximately 80 nucleotides in length. The record is from RNAcentral. Lineage: Eukaryota; Metazoa; Chordata; Actinopteri; Clupeiformes; Pristigasteridae.